Molecule: ribosomal RNA, 1171 nt
Filed under: marine metagenome
Description: bacterial SSU rRNA
Rfam family: Bacterial small subunit ribosomal RNA
Source: RNAcentral
UGAGACACGGCCCAAACUCCUACGGGAGGCAGCAGUGGGGAAUCUUGCACAAUGGAGGAAACUCUGAUGCAGCGAUGCCGCGUGAGUGAAGAAGGCCCUUGGGUUGUAAAGCUCUUUCGUCGGGGAAGAAAAUGACUGUACCCGAAUAAGAAGGUCCGGCUAACUUCGUGCCAGCAGCCGCGGUAAUACGAAGGGACCUAGCGUAGUUCGGAAUUACUGGGCUUAAAGAGUUCGUAGGUGGUUGAAAAAGUUGGUGGUGAAAUCCCAGAGCUUAACUCUGGAACUGCCAUCAAAACUUUUCAGCUAGAGUAUGAUAGAGGAAAGCAGAAUUUCUAGUGUAGAGGUGAAAUUCGUAGAUAUUAGAAAGAAUACCAAUUGCGAAGGCAGCUUUCUGGAUCAUUACUGACACUGAGGAACGAAAGCAUGGGUAGCGAAGAGGAUUAGAUACCCUCGUAGUCCAUGCCGUAAACGAUGUGUGUUAGACGUUGGAAAUUUAUUUUCAGUGUCGCAGCGAAAGCGAUAAACACACCGCCUGGGGAGUACGACCGCAAGGUUAAAACUCAAAUGAAUUGACGGGGACCCGCACAAGUAGUGGAGCAUGUGGUUUAAUUCGAAGAUACGCGCAGAACCUUACCAACACUUGACAUGUUCGUCGCGACUUUAAGAGAUUAAAGUUUUCGGUUCGGCCGGACGAAACACAGGUGCUGCAUGGCUGUCGUCAGCUCGUGUCGUGAGAUGUUGGGUUAAGUCCCGCAACGAGCGCAACCCUCACUUUUAGUUGCCAUCAUUAAGUUGGGCACUCUGAAAGAACUGCCAGUGAUAAGCUGGAGGAAGGUGGGGAUGACGUCAAGUCCUCAUGGCCCUUACGUGUUGGGCUACACACGUGCUACAAUGGUAUCUACAACAGGAAGCAAGACUGCGAAGUUUAGCAAAUCCUUAAAAGAUACCUCAGUUCGGAUUGCACUCUGCAACUCGAGUGCAUGAAGCUGGAAUUACUAGUAAUCGUGGAUCAGCGUGCCACGGUGAAUGCGUUCCCGGGUCUUGUACACACCGCCCGUCACACCAUGGGAGUUGGUUCUACCUUAAGGCAAGGUUUCAAACCCUUGACCACGGUAUAGUCAGCGACUGGGGUGAAGUCGUAACAAGGUAGCCGUAGGGGAACCUGCGGCUG